Molecule: long non-coding RNA, 212 nt
Filed under: Cucumis sativus (cucumber)
Lineage: Eukaryota; Viridiplantae; Streptophyta; Magnoliopsida; Cucurbitales; Cucurbitaceae
Description: long non-coding RNA (CSAT_LNC001890)
Source: RNAcentral
CAAAAUAACAUAAGACACCAAUUGUUGAAGAAAAAAUAGAAAAAAGUAGCAUUUCUUUCUAUUCUUUAUAAAAUGAAUGUGUGUAAAAAUUAAUACAAUGUUCAACCUUGAAGGCAAGAUCAAGGAAGACUAAACAUGCUUGAGAAAAAGUUGUUAGUACUAGAGAAAGAAGUGAGGUUUGUAAUACAUAUAAUGCCUUAUAUAUAUAUUUC